AACUACGGCUAUGCCACCCUGAACACGCCCAAUCUCGUCUGAUCUCGGAAGCUAAGCAGGGUCAGGGAUGGGAGACCACCUAGGAAUACCUGGUGCUGUAGGCG
This 104-nucleotide ribosomal RNA is filed under the name Pteropus alecto (black flying fox). The record is from RNAcentral. Lineage: Eukaryota; Metazoa; Chordata; Mammalia; Chiroptera; Pteropodidae.